This 254-nucleotide ribosomal RNA is filed under the name uncultured bacterium. Its description in RNAcentral is "partial 16S ribosomal RNA". It matches the Rfam family "Bacterial small subunit ribosomal RNA", at positions 524 to 776 of the family's 1533-position model. The record is from RNAcentral.
UACGGAGGGGGCUAGCGUUGUUCGGAAUCAUUGGGCGUAAAGGGCGCGUAGGCGGCCGGCCAAGUCGGAUGUGAAAUCCCUCGGCUCAACCGAGGAACUGCACUCGAUACUGUCGGACUAGAGUACAGAAGGGGCAACUGGAAUUCUCGGUGUAGCGGUGAAAUGCGUAGAUAUCGAGAGGAACACCUGCGGCGAAGGCGGGUUGCUGGGCUGAUACUGACGCUGACAGCGCGAAAGCCAGGGGAGCAAACGGG